This 426-nucleotide ribosomal RNA is filed under the name uncultured bacterium. RNAcentral's name for it is "bacterial SSU rRNA". It matches the Rfam family "Bacterial small subunit ribosomal RNA", at positions 354 to 796 of the family's 1533-position model. The record is from RNAcentral.
GUGGGGGAUAUUGCGCAAUGGGGGCAACCCUGACGCAGCAACGCCGCGUGAAGGAUGAAGGUUUUCGGAUUGUAAACUUCUUUUGUUAGGGACGAAGAAUGACGGUACCUAACGAAUAAGCUCCGGCUAACUACGUGCCAGCAGCCGCGGUAAUACGUAGGGAGCAAGCGUUGUCCGGAUUUACUGGGUGUAAAGGGUGCGUAGGCGGCUAAGUAAGUCAGAUGUGAAAUCUAUGGGCUCAACCCAUAAACUGCAUUUGAAACUACAUAGCUUGAGUGAAGUAGAGGCAGGCGGAAUUCCCUGUGUAGCGGUGAAAUGCGUAGAGAUAGGGAGGAACACCAGUGGCGAAGGCGGUCUGCUGGGCUUUAACUGACGCUGAGGCACGAAAGCGUGGGUAGCAAACAGGAUUAGAUACCCUAGUAGUCC